UCCUUAUAUCUAAAAAAUCAACUUUUCAAUUUAUUUGUACACAUUUAGAUACUUUGUUUUCAGUUAUGGAAUACAAAUACAUUUAGAUACUUUGUUUGUUUUCAAUUAUGGAAUACAAAAAGACUUUGCAUUUGGAAAUUGAAAUUAUGGUCAAUGACUCAAUGGAGCACUGGAUUUAGGAGGUGUUUGGUGUUUGAGGGCUGGACACGAACUCUGUAAAGGUGUCUCAAGACUUGUAGGUCGUGGAUUUUGAUCUUCAUGUCUUAUGAAGGGUAGAUUUGGAACUACUUGCCUUCUUUGCAAUUUCUACGGUCCCGGUUGCAAGUAUGAAUUGAAGACGUCUGUUUUGGGUCGCAAGUAUGAAGUUUUUGUAAUUUAAAUGUGCUUCGAAUUUAUGUUAUUUGUUUUUGUUAAAUUUAUGUUCCAAAUCGUAUUUAUCAUUAUGCAUUUUUUAGUAAGAAAA
This is a long non-coding RNA of Helianthus annuus (common sunflower), 463 nucleotides long. RefSeq lists it as uncharacterized. NCBI's taxonomy places the organism in Eukaryota, Viridiplantae, Streptophyta, Magnoliopsida, Asterales, Asteraceae. The transcript is spliced from 3 exons. The record is from RefSeq and is a predicted model, not a curated record.